This is a long non-coding RNA of Gavialis gangeticus (Gharial), 1653 nucleotides long. RefSeq lists it as uncharacterized. Lineage: Eukaryota; Metazoa; Chordata; Crocodylia; Gavialidae. The record is from RefSeq and is a predicted model, not a curated record. The transcript is spliced from 2 exons.
AUGAAACAAACAAACGAAAAAAGAGUCAGUGUUCAUACAAUCAGAUUUCAACAAACCCACCCACAUUUUCCCUUCAUUGCCAGUUUGCAAAAUUCCCUAACCCUAGAAUCUACUAGCGUUAUCUAACUGCGUGCGCAUUCGCGCAAUGAAGACGCACUAUCCAAAACUGGUGAAUCGCUCAUGCAGAAAAUGCUAAAUCUGGGGAGAAAAGUUUUAGAACAGCCUCUUUUUCCCUUGUAUGCAUAAAUCAAUAGCCCCUAGAGUCUUACAACAAGCACGAGGCCAAGAUUUGCAGAAACGGCUGGAGUGGAAUUGGCUGUUUUGCUCUUCAGGGCUCCAAGCGGAGUCAUCUGAAAAUGGCCGGGAUUUUAGGAAGUGGUCUGGAAAAAACCCCCACCAGCUCUUUAAGUAGGGUUGGAAAGGUGAUAUAUAGCUGUGAUAGUCCAGGAAACACAGAAGCAAAGAUUUGUUGUUCUUCUGUCUUUUUGACAGACUGUACAGUUGGUUACCUUCUUUGUUACGAUCUAUGAAUCUCUGAACAUCUACGGAGAGAUGUUCGAAAACAUUCCAGGCACAAAGUGUCUUUUCUUUGGGUCUCUUUAAGGCAUUCUCAAUUAGGCGUAAAAAAAUAAUACAACAGAUCCCAUGUCCCAAGGCUCUGCUAAAAUCUGUCCCUACACACCAAACCUGUUCUCUGAGCCAGUCGCUCUCCCUCCCUGCGUCCCAGAGGGUGCAGGAAAGCAGAGCCGUUGAGGAUGUCCGGGCUCGGAGACCUCCUGCAGCGCUACAAAGCCCCUGCCUGAAAUGGGAACUUGAGAGAGGCAGGCUGGCCAUCCCUGAAAUGCUACAAACAGCCUGAACAUGCAAACACUUGCUUUUCAUAGCACGAUCAGGGCAUAUACAGCAGCGCUGCAGAAAGCAACGGGAGUCCCCAGGCCUUAGUUUCCCCAAUUUGCUCAAAAUAUUUCAAGACUUUCCUUUUCUUUUGAGGGCACUGCAAUCUCAUACACAGCAAACCACACCCAUCCUUGCUGGGCAUUGAACCGUCUUAAUUGUUAGCGUAUUGAGAUCAACACAUUAGCAGAGAUAUUUUUUCCCCCUGAAAAAACAACUAAAUGGACUGACAAGCUAAAAUCCUAAUUAGCUCUAAGAAGUCCCCCUCCUCCCCUCCACGCUCUCCCGCCCUCUCAGGGUCUCUCUCAGAUGUCCAGCUUGGCUUACAGGGCACAAACCUUCAAUGCAACUCAAAAGAUUUUUCAAAACUGACGUUUCCACAACUGAGACAUGAGCAGCCGUCACGUUAACAUCCAACUUGUUUCCAAGAGCAGGGAAGGAGAAAGACAGAGCCUCCCAACUCUUAACCAGAGAGCAAGAGCAUAACCGCAAUCAUUUCCACCAGUGCAGAAGUGAGAAUUCAGUCAAAUUCCUCUAGUCCGUCUGCAAGAAGAGGGCUGAAACAUUUCUCUUUCCAUCUCAGACCCUUAGGAUUCUUGCUAGAUUCAAAUACAAUCCAAGUGCACAACCUUUCAGAAGUUAAUACUUCAGCCACAAAUUGCAUCACCCCUUUGUAGCUUGCCAGGCCUAGGCUACGGGAUCAGCUUCUACAGACCACAAGGAGAAAGGGCAGCAGGGCUCAAGGGGCUGAGCUCCCUG